This 258-nucleotide ribosomal RNA is filed under the name uncultured archaeon. Its description in RNAcentral is "partial 16S ribosomal RNA". It matches the Rfam family "Archaeal small subunit ribosomal RNA", at positions 748 to 1009 of the family's 1478-position model. The record is from RNAcentral.
CAGCCGUAAACUAUGCUCGCUAGGUGUCAGGCAUGGCGCGACCGUGUCUGGUGCCGCAGGGAAGCCGUGAAGCGAGCCACCUGGGAAGUACGGCCGCAAGGCUGAACUUAAGGAUUGGCGGGGGAGCACAACAACGGGUGGAGCCUGCGGUUUAAUUGGACUCAACGCCGGACAACUCACCGGGAACGACAGCAAUAUGUAGGCCAGGCUGAAGACCUUGCCUGAAUCGCUGAGAGGAGGUGCAUGGCGUAGUCGUGU